This 117-nucleotide ribosomal RNA is filed under the name Acinetobacter baumannii. Its description in RNAcentral is "partial 16S ribosomal RNA". It matches the Rfam family "Bacterial small subunit ribosomal RNA", at positions 1 to 116 of the family's 1533-position model. Lineage: Bacteria; Pseudomonadati; Pseudomonadota; Gammaproteobacteria; Moraxellales; Moraxellaceae. The record is from RNAcentral.
UAACUGAAGAGUUUGAUCAUGGCUCAGAUUGAACGCUGGCGGCAGGCUUAACACAUGCAAGUCGAGCGGGGGAAGGUAGCUUGCUACUGGACCUAGCGGCGGACGGGUGAGUAAUGC